RNAcentral lists this ribosomal RNA (865 nucleotides) under Alteromonas macleodii. RNAcentral describes it as "bacterial SSU rRNA". It matches the Rfam family "Bacterial small subunit ribosomal RNA", at positions 56 to 918 of the family's 1533-position model. Lineage: Bacteria; Pseudomonadati; Pseudomonadota; Gammaproteobacteria; Alteromonadales; Alteromonadaceae. The record is from RNAcentral.
UGCAGUCGACGGUAACAUUUCUAGCUUGCUAGAAGAUGACGAGUGGCGGACGGGUGAGUAAUGCUUGGGAACUUGCCUUUGCGAGGGGGAUAACAGUUGGAAACGACUGCUAAUACCGCAUAAUGUCUUCGGACCAAACGGGGCUUCGGCUCCGGCGCAAAGAGAGGCCCAAGUGAGAUUAGCUAGUUGGUAAGGUAACGGCUUACCAAGGCGACGAUCUCUAGCUGUUCUGAGAGGAAGAUCAGCCACACUGGGACUGAGACACGGCCCAGACUCCUACGGGAGGCAGCAGUGGGGAAUAUUGCACAAUGGGGGAACCCUGAUGCAGCCAUGCCGCGUGUGUGAAGAAGGCCUUCGGGUUGUAAAGCACUUUCAGUUGUGAGGAAAAGUUAGUAGUUAAUACCUGCUAGCCGUGACGUUAACAACAGAAGAAGCACCGGCUAACUCCGUGCCAGCAGCCGCGGUAAUACGGAGGGUGCGAGCGUUAAUCGGAAUUACUGGGCGUAAAGCGCACGCAGGCGGUUUGUUAAGCUAGAUGGAAAGCCCCGGGCUCAACCUGGGAUGGUCAUUUAGAACUGGCAGACUAGAGUCUUGGAGAGGGGAGUGGAAUUCCAGGUGUAGCGGUGAAAUGCGUAGAUAUCUGGAGGAACAUCAGUGGCGAAGGCGACUCCCUGGCCAAAGACUGACGCUCAUGUGCGAAAGUGUGGGUAGCGAACAGGAUUAGAUACCCUGGUAGUCCACACCGUAAACGCUGUCUACUAGCUGUGUGUGUCUUUAAGACGUGCGUAGCGAAGCUAACGCGCUAAGUAGACCGCCUGGGGGAGUACCGCCCGCGAGGGAUAAAACUCAAAUGGAAUUGACGGGG